RNAcentral lists this ribosomal RNA (468 nucleotides) under uncultured bacterium. Its description in RNAcentral is "partial 16S ribosomal RNA". It matches the Rfam family "Bacterial small subunit ribosomal RNA", at positions 28 to 507 of the family's 1533-position model. The record is from RNAcentral.
GACGAACGCUGGCGGUGUGCUUAACACAUGCAAGUCGAACGGUAAGGCCCUUUCGGGGGUACACGAGUGGCGAACGGGUGAGUAACACGUGAGUAACCUGCCCUCAUCUCUGGGAUAACAGUCGGAAACGGUUGCUAAUACUGGAUAUGAGCUUGCAAGGCAUCUUGUGGGUUGGAAAGAUUUUUUUUGGUUGGGGAUGGACUCGCGGCCUAUCAGCUUGUUGGUGAGGUAGUGGCUCACCAAGGCUUCGACGGGUAGCCGGCCUGAGAGGGCGACCGGCCACAUUGGGACUGAGAUACGGCCCAAACUCCUACGGGAGGCAGCAGUGGGGAAUACUGCACAAUGGACGGAAGUCUGAUGCAGCAACGCCGCGUGCGGGAUGACGGCCUUCGGGUUGUAAACCGCUUUCAAUUGUGACGAAGCUUUUUUGUGACGGUAGCAGUAGAAGAAGCACCGGCUAACUACGUG